AUGGGAGAAGCUUAGAUGUUCUUGGAAUCUCUGAAAAGCAAUCAGCAAAUUUCGACAGGAUGUCGAAAUAGAUGCAAUGGAGCCAUGGAUGGCGACUUUGCAUCGGUUGCGUAUGAUUGAAAUAAAGUACACCCGGGGUGCCUAGAACAUCUUAGUUUCGUAC
Molecule: non-coding RNA, 163 nt
Filed under: pig gut metagenome
Source: RNAcentral